This 497-nucleotide ribosomal RNA is filed under the name uncultured bacterium. RNAcentral describes it as "partial 16S ribosomal RNA". It matches the Rfam family "Bacterial small subunit ribosomal RNA", at positions 28 to 507 of the family's 1533-position model. The record is from RNAcentral.
GAUGAACGCUGGCGGCGUGCCUAAUACAUGCAAGUCGAGCGAACGGACGAGAAGCUUGCUUCUCUGAUGUUAGCGGCGGACGGGUGAGUAACACGUGGAUAACCUACCUAUAAGACUGGGAUAACUUCGGGAAACCGGAGCUAAUACCGGAUAAUAUUUUGAACCGCAUGGUUCAAAAGUGAAAGACGGUCUUGCUGCCACUUAUAGAUGGAUCCGCGCUGCAUUAGCUAGUUGGUAAGGUAACGGCUUACCAAGGCAACGAUGCAUAGCCGACCUGAGAGGGUGAUCGGCCACACUAGAACUGAGACACGGUCCAGACUCCUACGGGAGGCAGCAAUGGGGAAUCUUCCGCAAUGGGCGAAAACCUGACGGAGCAACGCCGCGUGAGUUAUGAAGGUCUUCGGAUCGUAAAACUCUGUUAUUAGGGAAGAACAUAUGUGUAAGUAACUUUGCACAUCUUGACGGUACCUAAUCAGAAAGCCACGGCUAACUACGUG